This 406-nucleotide ribosomal RNA is filed under the name Saccharata eucalypti. RNAcentral's name for it is "partial 18S ribosomal RNA". The stretch from base 58 to 356 matches the Rfam family "Group I catalytic intron". Rfam says of the family: Group I catalytic introns are large self-splicing ribozymes. They catalyse their own excision from mRNA, tRNA and rRNA precursors in a wide range of organisms. The core secondary structure consists of 9 paired regions (P1-P9). Lineage: Eukaryota; Fungi; Ascomycota; Dothideomycetes; Botryosphaeriales; Saccharataceae. The record is from RNAcentral.
UACUAAUCCUUCCGCAGUGGCACUUAUAGAAGCCUUUGCAGCCCCUCAAGGGGUAGCUCAGCGACUCUAAACAAUAGAGCACAUGCAAGUCGGCCUUCCCGGCCGGCGACACUUUCGAAUUGCGGGGAGCUCCUUAGAGCCCCACCCUACCAACCUCCGGGGGAAACCUCGGGGGGGCCCAUGUUAACGGCAUGGGGUACGGUAAUUAAGGGGUGGGGAUUGGAUGAUCCGCAGCCAAGUCCCUAAGGGUAGGUGCAUGCCUACCACGGGAAAGGUUCACAGACUAAGUGGAAGUGGGUAGGAGGCGCGAGCCGUCCUGCUUAAGAUAUAGUCGGGUCCCACGGGGAAACCUUGGGCAGUGAAGUCACUACAACCGUUCCGUAGGUGAACCUGCGGAAGGAUCAUU